CUUCCCUAGCAACGGAGUGGGUUUGAGCCGCUGUCCGGCGCGCCUCGGCUCAGGGCCAUCCAGGGAUGCCUCUGCAGGUUAGCAAUUACAGCUGGCAGCAGACAGAGACUGCGGUCUUUCUCUCUCUGCCUCUUCGAGGUGUCUGCGUCAGAGAUGCGGACGUGUUUUGCACGGAAAACUACCUGAAGGUCAACUUUCCUCCGUUUCUGUUCGAGGCGUUUCUCUAUGCGCCUAUAGACGAUGCCAGCAGCAAAGCCAAGAUUGGAAAUGACGCCGUGGUCUUCACCUUAUACAAAAAAAAAGCCGUCCUGUGGGAGACCCUCUGCUUGCGGGGUGUUGACAAAGAGAUGAUGCAGAGGAUAAGAGAAGAAUCUAUUUUACAAGCACAAGAGAGAGCAAAGGAAGCUGUGGAAGCAAAAGCUGUGGCAAGGCGAGAAGAUCAGAAGUACGCCCUGGAUGUCAUGAUGAAGAUUGAAGAAGAAGAGAGGAAGAAAAUAGAAAGUAUUAAAGAAAAUGAACGGAAAAAAGCAACUGAAGAAUUGGAAGCCUGGAAAGAAAAUCGAAGAAAAGCUGAAGAGAAAAAAAAAAUUCAGAAACAAGACAAAUUAUGUCAAAAGAAGCAAAUGGAAGAAGAAAGGAAGAAAUUCAAACAUAAGGGUCUUAUUAGAAAUGUAGCACCCAGCAGUCUGACCCCGAAAGGGAGAGAGUCAGGCAAUAUAUUCUUUGAGAAGUUGAAGGAAGACAGCAUUCCUGCUCCUCGCUCUGCUGGCAGUAUCAAGAUCAACUUUACCCCUCGGGCAUUCCCCACAGCUCUUCGUGAAUCUCAAGCAGCGGAAGAGGAGGAGUGGCUGCACAAACAAGCUGAGGCACGAAGAGCAAUGAACACUGAUAUUCCUGAGCUUUCUGAUUUAAAGGAAGACGAAAAGAAUCCAGAGUGGUUGAAGGACAAAGGAAACAAAUUGUUUGCAAUGGAAAACUAUCUGGCAGCCAUCAAUGCAUACAACUUAGCCAUACGCCUGAACAAUAAGAUCCCACUACUGUAUCUGAAUCGAGCUGCUUGCCACCUAAAACUAAAAAACUUACACAAGACGAUUGAAGAUUCUUCUAAGGCACUGGAAUUACUGACCCCACCUGUUGCUGACAAUGCAAGUGCAAGAAUGAAAGCUCAUGUGCGACGGGGAACAGCAUUCUGCCAGCUAGAAUUGUAUGUAGAAGGACUACAGGAUUAUGAAGCUGCACUUAAGAUUGACCCAGCCAACAAAACUGUACAACGUGAUGCUGAGAAGAUUCGGAAUGUGAUUCAAGGAACAGAAGUGAAAUCUUAAUGACCGCUUGAUAUUCCUAGCUAAACAAGGUGGCUGUGUGGUUACAGAGGGACAGAAGAAAGCAGAAACAGAGAACAAAGAGUUCUUGCAGAGUCACUUUCGUUUCUAAGAUGAGGACGGAACAAUAGGUUUCCUGGAAUGUGGUGGUCUGGCUGCUUCUGAACACAGCGUUACAAGACAGGCUUCUCUGGAGCUGUGUCCUAUUUCAGAUUCCCAGCCCUGUUCCUGUUUUGUUGUGGUUUCCCCAUCCCAGCUGUAUUGCCUA
Molecule: RNA transcript, 1590 nt
Organism: Ochotona princeps (American pika)
Lineage: Eukaryota; Metazoa; Chordata; Mammalia; Lagomorpha; Ochotonidae
Gene: DNAAF4
Gene name: dynein axonemal assembly factor 4
Exons: 11
Source: RefSeq, a predicted model, not a curated record